GGAAACUAAUCGCGCCUAGGCUUC
Molecule: non-coding RNA, 24 nt
Filed under: Arabidopsis thaliana (thale cress)
Lineage: Eukaryota; Viridiplantae; Streptophyta; Magnoliopsida; Brassicales; Brassicaceae
Source: RNAcentral